GGGCACAGCGCCGCCCCCNAGCGCGCUUCCCUGACACGGAAGAGGUCACUGGUUCGAUCCCAGUAUCGCCCACCA
Molecule: transfer RNA, 75 nt
Filed under: Oerskovia sp. Root918
Lineage: Bacteria; Bacillati; Actinomycetota; Actinomycetes; Micrococcales; Cellulomonadaceae
Description: tRNA-Val
Rfam family: tRNA
About the family: Transfer RNA (tRNA) molecules are approximately 80 nucleotides in length.
Source: RNAcentral